GGGAACCUCACCCGGCCCGGACACCGCGAGGAUUGACAGACUGAGAGCUCUUUCUCGAUUCGGUGGGUGGUGGUGCAUGGCCGUUCUAGUUGGUGGAGCGAUCUGUCUGGUUAAUUCCGAUAACGAACGAGACCCCAACCUGCUAACUAGCCCUCGGGUCCUGCUUCUGUUGGGCCCGACGGAAUGAUUCGCUUCUUAGAGGGACUCGCGGCGCCUAGCCGCACGAAGGGGGGCGAUAA
RNAcentral lists this ribosomal RNA (239 nucleotides) under uncultured eukaryote. Its description in RNAcentral is "partial 18S ribosomal RNA". It matches the Rfam family "Eukaryotic small subunit ribosomal RNA", at positions 1208 to 1456 of the family's 1831-position model. The record is from RNAcentral.